Molecule: long non-coding RNA, 3150 nt
Organism: Acanthochromis polyacanthus (spiny chromis)
Lineage: Eukaryota; Metazoa; Chordata; Actinopteri; Pomacentridae
Exons: 4
Source: RefSeq, a predicted model, not a curated record
GCUUCUGAACAUUUCUUUUAAGAAGGUUUAAAACGAAGGUCACUUUAUACAAGGAGAAUGCUGUUUUAAAGAGACUUUUUAACUUGGUUUGAUUUGAUCUUUAACUGUUUUUUAAAAUGUUUUUAUUUGUCAUUAUGUUUUAUAGUUUCUUUGCCAUUAUUGGUAUCUUAUCAUUUUUAAUUUUAACACUUUAAUUAUAAAAGAUGCUUGAAUGUUUCUGCGAGUCAGGUAAACCCAUCACUGUCAAUUUUGCUUGCAUAAAUCAGCAUUUGAUGGCUCAUCUGUUCCUGUCGUUUUGCCUUUUGCCAGAUUUUUCUUUGUCUCAAACACUCUUCUGUUUCACCACUACGUUCAAAAAAAACUAUUGGGAAAUGCAGCAGGCUAACAAAUGACCGCAGGUUACAACAAAAUGAUGACGUCCCUGCCCAGCAAAUUUGCGCUUGGCCCAGAAUGAGACAAGAACAAAUUUGUUUCUGUGCACAGUUGACCGGGUGGCAGCAGGCCCAGCGAAAGCAAAAUAUAAGGUAAUAGUGAAACACAGAACUGGGAGUACACAGAUAGCAUGUUGCACUGCACAAACAAUGCAAAUCAUUAAAUGUAGUACUCCUGAAAAAUCUCUGAAAAAAUGUACCAUUCUGUCUGUGGGUUAAAGUAAUAAUGUACAAAUAACUCUUAAACACUAGUAAUCCUUUUGUAGUUUGCUACAAACCGCUGAAAAUGAGGUAUGAAAUUAAAAAAAUGGAAAACGAUGCAAUUUAGCUCGUUAAAGUGAAGACAGACAAACCACAAAUUACCGUACCAGUAUUUAAUUUUAGUCUUUGGUGGUACACUUUACACAUCUGCCCACAGCAAAAGCAUGUUAAGAAAACCUCAUUUUGUACACAUGUGCAAACACAUCUGGGCCCUUUAACAUCAGCUUAAACACUUCCCCUUGCUUCUCUGACCCUCGUGCAUCUGGUAGCACAUAAUGAACACGUACAGUAUGCAGCUCUGUUGAUUGUUUGGUGAGAGUUCGAUGUAUGCCUAAAUUCACAUAAUCCUGCAUCCCACUUGCCACUGAAUGUAAUCUGGCUCUGAGACCCAGCCAGACUUUGGAUGUUAGACCAGAUGCUGUGAGCAAGGCAGAGACAGUCUCUGACAUCAAAUGACUACAUUAAAAUAAGAUUGAAUCUACAGCAUCGCUUCUAGUUUUCUUUACUAUGGCAGCUAUAAAAUGCUGUUGGCCACAUUUAAAUAUUUAUUAUAGCCUUUGUUUUUUACAACACUCUGGUUUUCUACAAUAAAUUUCUUAAAUAUUACAAACUGAGCACACUAGAAAAACAGAAUUCAGGUUUCAGUAAUGCAGGAACUGAAGCCAGCAUAAUGUUCGCUCUCUCUGCAAGUCUCCUUGGUCUAACGGUCUUGACAGAAGGAUCAGGUGUCUCUCUGUUGCUUCAGGAAACAAACACUCCUCUUCUGUCCUGCAUCUUUUCUGUUUUCUCGUCUUCUUUUUUUUUUCACUCUGUCUUCCUCUUUCACUGCUUCUAUGCCGUUGGCUCUAUCACAUUUUACACUGUAAAGAAGCGACUGUACUGCUGCGCACCUGCCAAAGCUCAUGGAAGUGGAGAAAAAGUGGACCGGGAGUGAUUUAGGUCAGUGGUUCAGGUGAGCAGUACUGAGUCCAAAGAAGAAGCUGUCUGUACUACAUUUAGACACGGAUCAAUUGAUCGUCUCCUGCUCCCUGUGAUGGCAUCUUGAUUAUGCUGGUACAAGCCUCUUGGUGUGUAUGUGUGUUGACAGUAUGUAAGUGCAUUCAGCAUUUAAUCGUGACCGAUUUAAUUAAUUUCCAGGCAGACUGCUGUGGCCCAGACUCUCCCUAAUCACUUCAGAUCUUUAGCAAUGCCAUCACUCUGAUCCUGAGCUUCUCUGUGCUGGGCCAUUUAUUGAUUAAACACAUGCGAUGGAAAUCAAGACAAUAAUCGGUGUUGAUAAACGCAUGUCCUGAUUUUGGUUAACCGACAUUUUUCAGGAUCAGAUACUUUUGCUGCCAAUAGCUUCGAUUUGUGACACAUUUAGCAACAAUUUAGUACUGACCUUGCCACUCAGUUGCAGUAAAAUCAAUAAAAAUACAUUUAUAAUUGGGAGAAAAAGGAAAAAAGACAAGCUUUAUUAUAAAUAUCAUCUGAAACUAAUAUAACACUGUGGAUGCUAAGGAAAAGAGACUGGUAGGGUAGUUUUUUUUUACAGGUGGGUCAUCAGAUUCUUGGGGCAAAGUGAGUCUGAUGUUCACAUUGACACCAGUCAAGAGCAUGAAAAUGAAUGAACCGCCAUUCUGUCUGUAGUGACAGUACUCACUAAUAUCUGCUUUUACCAUUUGAAGGCCAAAAUCACCCAAAUUCUAACCACCAGCUGAUUGUGUGCAGGCCUCAGUCAGUUACAGAGGCCUGUAACAGCAACGUGCUAAAACAAAUGUGUUAAAAAUCCUUUUCCCUCUGCACACACAUGCCACCUCAAUAUGCCACUAUGUCCCUUCGGCCCAGCACUCCAAUUCUCAGAAAGAAUCGACUGGUGCGUCAAAGCCUCGCCAUUUGCCCUUUCUGCCAAAGCUUUUUUUGCGCCCACCUCUUCCACCUGCCCUACUCCCAGCUCCCUCCUUCUGCACCUCGAGCAUCAUCUCCCUCCAACCCCGGGUCAUCCUACACCUCCAUUCCUCCAGAGUGAACGUUUUUGACGUGUGCAUCCAUCCUGCUGAAACCACACAGACUGUUCUUCAAUUCUCUCAAGGACCCCUGGAGGUCCACUGACCACGGUUUGGCCCACCGUGCAUGGGUCUACACGAUGGUGUUGGUGCGUGAUGCAGUGACAAAGCAUCACAGGUCCCUAAUCCUGUCCCACGUCCCGGAGAUCGCAGGAUUGUUUCAGCUUCCAGUCCAUGAUCUGGCCAAUCACAGGAGCUGUCAUCAGGCAGAGCAGCUGCAGCACGCCGAAGAUGGAGGAGUACAAACUCACUGAGGGAGGCACACGAAUGAGGAUAAAAUGAAAUCAAAAAAGUAAAGGAGGUCCAUGGUGGAGAGGCACAGAUUGGGUCCGUCUGUAGUAGCCACCUCCUUCUGCUUCGGGCUGCUGGCCACACUCAGCCGGCGGCCCACUGUGGUCACUUGCUGGUAGAAC